RNAcentral lists this ribosomal RNA (1407 nucleotides) under uncultured Methanolobus sp. RNAcentral describes it as "bacterial SSU rRNA". It matches the Rfam family "Archaeal small subunit ribosomal RNA". Lineage: Archaea; Methanobacteriati; Methanobacteriota; Methanomicrobia; Methanosarcinales; Methanosarcinaceae. The record is from RNAcentral.
UCCGGUUGAUCCUGCCAGAGGUCAUUGCUAUCAGUGUUCGACUAAGCCAUGCGAGUCAAAUGUUCUUCGGAACAUGGCGUACUGCUCAGUAACACGUGGACAACCUGCCCUAAGGUCUGGCAUAACUCCGGGAAACUGGGGAUAAUUCCAGAUAAACCAUGGAUACUGGAAUGUACUGUGGUUAAAAGCUCCGGUGCCUUAGGAUGGAUCUGCGGCCUAUCAGGUAGUAGUGGGUGUAAUGUACCUACUAGCCUACGACGGGUACGGGUUGUGAGAGCAAGAGCCCGGAGAUGGAUUCUGAGACAUGAAUCCAGGCCCUACGGGGCGCAGCAGGCGCGAAAACUUUACAAUGCGGGAAACCGCGAUAAGGGGACACUGAGUGCCAGCACCAUGUGCUGGCUGUCCGCAUGUAUAAAUCACAUUGUCAGCAAGGGCCGGGCAAGACCGGUGCCAGCCGCCGCGGUAACACCGGCGGCCCGAGUGGUGGCCAUUAUUAUUGGGUCUAAAGGGUCCGUAGCCGGUUUGAUCAGUCUUCCGGGAAAUCUGACAGCUCAACUGUUAGGCUUCUGGGGGAUACUGUCAGACUUGGAACCGGGAGAGGUAAGAGGUACUACAGGGGUAGGAGUGAAAUCUUGUAAUCCUUGUGGGACCACCAGUGGCGAAGGCGUCUUACCAGAACGGGUUCGACGGUGAGGGACGAAAGCUGGGGGCACGAACCGGAUUAGAUACCCGGGUAGUCCCAGCCGUAAACGAUGCUCGCUAGGUGUCUGGGAUGGUGCGACCGUUUCAGGUGCCGCAGGGAAGCCGUGAAGCGAGCCACCUGGGAAGUACGGCCGCAAGGCUGAAACUUAAAGGAAUUGGCGGGAACCACACACGGGGGAGCCUGGCGGUUAAUGGGCCUCACCCCGAAAAUUCCCCGGGGCGACACAAUAUUUAGUCCGGCCGAAGUUCUUCCGGAAUUGUAGAGAGAAGGCCAUGCCGUUCUCCAGUUCGUACUGGGAGCAUUCGGUAAGUUCAGGCANCGAGCGAGAACGGUGCCCACUGUGGCAAGCAUAUCUUCGGGAUGAUGGGUACUCUGUGGGGACCGCNGAUGCUAAAUCGAGGAAAGUGCNNGGCUACGUAGUNNCAGUAUGCCCNGAAUCUCCAGGGCUACACGCGGGCUACAAUGACCGGANCAAUGGUCCCCUACCCCGAAAGGGGUGGUAAUCUCAUAAACCCGGCCUUAGUUCGGAUCGGGGGCUGCAACUCGCCCUCGUGAAGCUGGAAUCCGUAGUAAUCGCGUUUCAAUAUAGCGCGGUGAAUACGUCCCUGCUCCUUGCACACACCGCCCGUCAAACCACCCGAGUGAGGUAUGGGUGAGGGCACGGAUUCAUGCCGUGUUCGAACCUAAAUUUUGCAAGGGGGGUU